UACAGGGGGGGCAAGCGUUGUUCGGAAUUACUGGGCGUAAAGGGCCAGUAGGCGGCCAACUAAGUCCGACGUGAAAUCCCCAGGCUUAACCUGGGAACUGCGUCGGAUACUGGAUGGCUUGAAUUCGGGAGAGGGAUGCAGAAUUCCAGGUGUAGCGGUGAAAUGCGUAGAUAUCUGGAGGAACACCCGUAGCGAAGGCGGCACUCUGGGCCGGUACUGACGCUGAGGAGCGAAAGCGUGGGGAGCAAACAGG
Molecule: ribosomal RNA, 253 nt
Filed under: uncultured bacterium
Lineage: Bacteria
Description: partial 16S ribosomal RNA
Rfam family: Bacterial small subunit ribosomal RNA
Source: RNAcentral